RNAcentral lists this ribosomal RNA (345 nucleotides) under uncultured bacterium. RNAcentral describes it as "bacterial SSU rRNA". It matches the Rfam family "Bacterial small subunit ribosomal RNA", at positions 28 to 380 of the family's 1533-position model. The record is from RNAcentral.
GACGAACGCUGGCGGCGUGCUUAACACAUGCAAGUCAAGGGGGCCCGAGCAAUGGGCGAACCGGCGAACGGGUGCGUAACACGUGAGCAACCUACCGAAAUGUGGGGGAGUAGCCGGCCUAACGGCCGAGUAAUACCGCAUACGCUUUCCGAGAGGCAUUUCUUGGAAAGGAAACCUACGGGACAUUUCGAGGGGCUCGCGGCCUAUCAGCUAGUUGGCGAGGUAACGGCUCACCAAGGCAACGACGGGAGCUGGUCUGAGAGGAUGGCCAGCCACAUUGGGACUGAGAUACGGCCCAGACUCCUACGGGAGGCAGCAGUGGGGAAUCUUGCGCAAUGGCCUAAC